This 442-nucleotide ribosomal RNA is filed under the name uncultured bacterium. RNAcentral describes it as "partial 16S ribosomal RNA". It matches the Rfam family "Bacterial small subunit ribosomal RNA", at positions 338 to 795 of the family's 1533-position model. The record is from RNAcentral.
CCUACGGGAGGCAGCAGUAGGGAAUCUUUCACAAUGGGCGAAAGCCUGAUGGAGCAACGCCGCGUGCAGGAUGAAGGCCUUCGGGUUGUAAACUGCUUUUAUAAGCGAGAAAUAUGAUGGUAACUUAUGAAUAAGGAUCGGCUAACUACGUGCAAGCAGCCGCGGUCAUACGUAGGAUCCGAGCAUUAUCCGGAGUGACUGGGUGUAAAGAGUUGCGUAGGUGGCAUAAUAAGUAGCUAGUGAAAUCUGGUGGCUCAACCAUUCAGACUAUUAGCUAAACUGUUAAUCUCGAGACCGUUAGGGGUAACUGGAAUUUCUAGUGUAGGAGUGAAAUCCGUAGAUAUUAGAAGGAACACCAAUAGCGUAGGCAGGUUGCUGGGACGGUUCUGACACUAAGGCACGAAAGCGUAGGGAGCAAACGGGAUUAGAUACCCGGGUAGUC